This 30-nucleotide non-coding RNA is filed under the name Mus musculus (house mouse). The record is from RNAcentral. Lineage: Eukaryota; Metazoa; Chordata; Mammalia; Rodentia; Muridae.
UNCAAUUGCUGAGGAUCUGAACUUGCUGUG